This is a non-coding RNA of Thamnophis sirtalis, 1917 nucleotides long. Lineage: Eukaryota; Metazoa; Chordata; Lepidosauria; Squamata; Natricidae. The record is from RefSeq and is a predicted model, not a curated record.
UUCUUUGUGGCAUUUUCCACUGCUUAUUCUAAUCAAAGCUGUCAUUUUAUGACGCAUAAGGUUUCCUUUUAUAACUAUUUUGUGACUGAUAAAAGGCUGAAUAUGUUGCUAAGAAAAACUUUUAAAAGAUUCAAAUCAGUUGUUUCCCUGGACUUUUACCAUAAACAAUAUGAGCUGGAAGUUUCUGUGCCCAUUCAGAAAUGUGAGUUUCUUUAAUUAACCUGGCAGAAUCUACUUUCCUCAGUUGCCGCCACCCAGUCUUUAAUUAUACCCUCUUCCCUUUACUUUCCUUGUAAAGGCCACCAAGCCCAGUGCUGAAAGAGACAAAAAGUGAUGAGCAACCUCUAGAAAUAGGCAAACGUAAGUGCCGUUCUCAAAGCUCAAGCAGUACAAGCAGCAGCUCUUCCUCUUCUUCGUCCUCAUCUUCUUCAGCCUCUUCCUCUUCCUCCUCUUCCUCCUCUUCAUCAUCUUCGUCCUCCUCCACGCCAUUGCCUAAAACAGGACUCCAGGCAGUGGUGAAGGGCCCCCUGAAGAAGAAACCAUCUCCAGAGAAGAGAAAGUCACGCAGCCCUAGAAAACCAAUUGAUUCGUUGAGAGAUUCCCGCUCUCUGAGCUACUCCCCAGCAGAACGGCGUCAGAUUUCCCCUCCUGCCCAACCACCCUCUGCUCCAAGGGAUCGACGUAGAGACAGAUCUAGGGAGAGGUCCCUGCAGAGAAACAGACGAAGCAUCAGCAGGUCUCCAGGACGAAAAUACCGACGCAAAUCUCCCAGUCCCCGAGCUCCUUGUCGCAGAACUUCAAGGUAAUGAGCAUGACUUGCUAGUUUUAGAAAUACCUAACAAUUGCUAAAAGUCCUAUUAAAUGUAACAAUUCAAUUGACUUGACUGCACUUACUAUAGUUUUGUUAUUUCUGACACUGUGUUCCUACUCAUUUCCUGAAGGUAUGGUGAAAUUGUGCUAGUGUCUUUAAUCCUAAAAAGACUCCAGCUUGAAGUCUGUGAAUUCUUCUCACUUACAUCUAGAUAUAAAUAAACAAUUUGCUUCAAAUAAAUUGCCAGAGCACCAGUAUCAUCUUUAUUUCCAUGAGCAUUAUUUGCUUAGUGGGCCUGUCUGAAAAAGACGAAGCUAAGAUGAGAUAAUGAUGGAUAGAAUGUCCUUGGUUAGACUGGAAGUCAAAGAGGGUUAUCCUUGCUAAUUUCUCUUCUAGUAAAUGGCUAAUUUGUUACUAUACACACUAUGUUUCUUAUCCACUUGCUCUCUGAAAUUUAAGCUCUCUUGCCAACCUAAGACAGCUGGGGACUCUGUUAAUUUCAAAGUGUGCUGUCCUGCUCUCACUGGUUUAAUGCGUUUAUGAAUAUUUCCCCCACAACUGCCUUCACCAAAAACCCAGAACUGUACCAGUUAAGCCCAGCCACAAGCAGACCAAUGCUAAUCCACAGACAAAUGGCCAUUGAGUCCACAAGGCAUUUGAAAGAUUCCUAAUCAAAAUAAACCCACCAGACAAAAUUAAAUCCAUAAUACAAGAGGGUUCACAAGGCACAAUCCAAGUCAAGGAGUCAAUCCAGAGUGAGGCAAGAAUCACGACAAGCAGAAAAUGCACAGCUAAGAAAUGAACACAUUGUUCCUAGCAUCACUUCCAUCUGUCUGUUGUGUUAACAGUGCAGCCCAUCCAGAAGGGCAAGGCUUUCUCCUUGCGAGUAAUCUGGCUGACCUUCUCUGCCCUGCGUGUUUUUGGAUGAGAUGCAGAAGGCAGUUCCUCUUCCUCAUCACUGACUGGCAGCAGCUCCAUAUUUUCACCACCUGAAGCCUUAGGGCUGUCUUGACGCAGCUGUACUUGAGCCAAAUCCCUCUUAGACGGCUGCUUGGAGCCAUUUACCAACUCCCCUCCAGACAUAGCAAUAGCAGUAGACUUAUAUA